AGCCUCCUUUCUUGGGGAUUCAUCUGGAAAGAGUUGAAAGAGGAGAGAGACGCCUUUCCUUUGGGGAGUCACUUUUACCUCAGGAAAGGCUUUUCUUCCCGUCCAGAGGACCCUCUCUCUCCCACUCGAUUUUAGAAAUUUCUUUAUCGAACCUUUACCUCAGAAAAGCCUUGUGAAAUAGAAAGAAGAAAAUGCCAAUUUUAUUUAUUAAGAGAUUGUCACCUCAGACUUUACCUCAGAAAUGGCCAAGCCUUGUGAAACGGAAGGGAGAAACAAAGGCAAAACUUUUGAAAAUUAGCACAGCUUUUUCUGAAGGGACCAGAAAUUUCUUUAUCGAACCUUUACCUCAGAAAAGCCUUGUGAAAUAGAAAGAAGAAAAUGCCAAUUUUAUUUAUUAAGAGAUGGUCAUCUCAGACUUUACCUCAGAAAUGGCCAAGCCUUGUGAAACGGAAGGGAGAAACAAAGGCAAAACUUUUGAAAAUUAGCACAGCUUUUUCUGAAGGGACCAGCCUUAAGACCCAUAACAUGCUAUGCUGAAAAUUAUAUAUAUA
Anolis carolinensis (green anole) is the source of this 551-nucleotide long non-coding RNA. RefSeq lists it as uncharacterized. The transcript has 4 exons. NCBI's taxonomy places the organism in Eukaryota, Metazoa, Chordata, Lepidosauria, Squamata, Anolidae. The record is from RefSeq and is a predicted model, not a curated record.